CCUGUCCCAGGUGUGUCCCUGUCCCAGGCGUGUCCCUGUCCCAGGCGUGUCCCUGUCCCAGGUGUGUCCUUAUCCCUGUCCCAGAUCUGUCCCCAGCCAGGUGUGUCCUCAUUCCAGGUGUGUCCCUGUCCUUGGCGUGUCCCUGUCCCUGUCCCAGGUGUGUCCCUGUCCCAGGUGUGUCCCUGUCCCAGGUGUGUCCUUAUCCCUGUCCCAGAUCUGUCCCCAGCCAGGUGUGUCCUCAUUCCAGGUGUGUCCCUGUCCUUGGCGUGUCCCUGUCCCUGUCCCAGGUGUGUCCCUGUCCCAGGUGUGUCCCUGUCCCCAUCCUGGGAUCUCUCCAUGUGCAAGAUCAGCCAGGCCACGUCUGUCCCUCUGUGUCCCCUCGAUGUCCCUCAGUGUCCUCUGAAUGUCCCCUGGAUGUCCCUCGGUGUCCCCUGGGUGUCCCUCUGCGUCCCCUGGAGUGCUGAAUGUCCCUUUGUGUCCCUUGCUGUCACCAAGUGUCCCCUGCAUGCCCCAGAGUGUCCCCUGCCUGUCACAGGUGUCCCUCAGUGUCCCCUACCUGUCCCCUCAGUGUCCCCAAAGGGCCCUGCAUCUCCCUCAGUGUCCCCCACGUUG
Molecule: long non-coding RNA, 612 nt
Organism: Catharus ustulatus (Swainson's thrush)
Lineage: Eukaryota; Metazoa; Chordata; Aves; Passeriformes; Turdidae
Exons: 3
Source: RefSeq, a predicted model, not a curated record